AGGAUAAACGCUGGCGGCGUGCCUAACACAUGCAAGUCGAACGCGCUUUCGGGCUUCGGUGCGAGAGCGAGUGGCGGACGGGUGAGUAACACAUGGGUACCUACCUUGGAGUGAGGGAUACCGGCGAGAAAUCGCCGACAAUACCGCAUAGGCUUCUUCACAAGGGAAGCAAAGUGACGCGAGUCACGCUUUGAGAUGGGCCUGUGGCCGAUUAGCUGGCUGGUGGGGUAAUGGCUCACCAGGGCGAUGAUCGGUAGCUGGUCUGAGAGGACGAUCAGCCACACUGGGAUUGAGAACGGCCCAGACUCCUACGGGGGGCAGCAGUGAGGAAUUUUCCGCAAUGGGCGCAAGCCUGACGGAGCAACGCCGCGUGCAGGACGACGGCCUUCGGGUUGUAACUGCUUUCGUGGGGACGAGCAAGGACGGUACCCGAGGAACUCGACGCCCCGGCUAACCGUACGUCGCCAGCAGCCGC
Molecule: ribosomal RNA, 475 nt
Filed under: uncultured bacterium
Lineage: Bacteria
Description: SSU rRNA
Rfam family: Bacterial small subunit ribosomal RNA
Source: RNAcentral